GACGAACGCUGGCGGCGUGCUUAACACAUGCAAGUCGAGCGGUAAGGCCCUUUCGGGGGUACGACGAGCGGCGAACGGGUGAGUAACACGUGGGUGACCUGCCCUCAGCUCUGGGAUAAGCCUGGGAAACUGGGUCUAAUACUGGAUAUGACUCCACGGUGCAUGUCGUGGGGUGGAAAGCCUUGUGCGGCUGAGGAUGGGCCCGCGGCCUAUCAGCUAGUUGGUGGGGUAAGUGGCCUACCAAGGCGAAGACGCGUAGCUGGUCUGAGAGGAUGAUCAGCCACACUGGGACUGAGACACGGCCCAGACUCCUACGGGAGGCAGCAGUGGGGAAUAUUGGACAAUGGGCGAAAGCCUGAUCCAGCCAUGCCGCGUGAGUGAAGAAGGCCUUAGGGUUGUAAAAGCUCUUUCAGCGGGGACGAUAAUGACGGUACCCGCAGAAGAAGUCCGGCUAACUUCGUGCCAGCCGCCGCGGUAAC
RNAcentral lists this ribosomal RNA (479 nucleotides) under uncultured bacterium. RNAcentral's name for it is "bacterial SSU rRNA". It matches the Rfam family "Bacterial small subunit ribosomal RNA", at positions 28 to 524 of the family's 1533-position model. The record is from RNAcentral.